This 389-nucleotide ribosomal RNA is filed under the name uncultured bacterium. Its description in RNAcentral is "bacterial SSU rRNA". It matches the Rfam family "Bacterial small subunit ribosomal RNA", at positions 28 to 417 of the family's 1533-position model. The record is from RNAcentral.
GACGAACGCUGGCGGCGUGCUUAACACAUGCAAGUCGAGCGGUAAGGCCCUUUCGGGGGUACACGAGCGGCGAACGGGUGAGUAACACGUGGGUGACCUGCCCUCAGCUCUGGGAUAAGCCUGGGAAACCGGGUCUAAUACCGGAUAUGACUCCAUGACGCAUGUUGUGGGGUGGAAAGCCUUGUGCGGCUGAGGAUGGGCCCCGCGGCCUAUCAGCUUGUUGGUGGGGUGAUGGCCUACCAAGGCGACGACGGGUAGCCGGCCUGAGAGGGCGACCGGCCACACUGGGACUGAGACACGGCCCAGACUCCUACGGGAGGCAGCAGUGGGGAAUCUUGCGCAAUGGGCGAAAGCCUGACGCAGCGACGCCGCGUGAGGGAUGACGGCCU